RNAcentral lists this ribosomal RNA (253 nucleotides) under uncultured bacterium. RNAcentral describes it as "partial 16S ribosomal RNA". It matches the Rfam family "Bacterial small subunit ribosomal RNA", at positions 524 to 776 of the family's 1533-position model. The record is from RNAcentral.
CACGUAGGGCGCAAGCGUUGUCCGGAAUUAUUGGGCGUAAAGAGCUCGUAGGCGGACUGUCACGUCUGCUGUGAAAAGCUGGGGCUUAACCCUGGCCUUGCAGUGGAUACGGGCAGACUAGAGGUAGGUAGGGGAGAAUGGAAUUCCCGGUGUAGCGGUGAAAUGCGCAGAUAUCGGGAGGAACACCGGUGGCGAAGGCGGCUCUCUGGGACGGUACUGACGCUGAGGAGCGAAAGCGUGGGGAGCGAACAGG